Molecule: ribosomal RNA, 771 nt
Filed under: uncultured bacterium
Lineage: Bacteria
Description: bacterial SSU rRNA
Rfam family: Bacterial small subunit ribosomal RNA
Source: RNAcentral
AGAGUUUGAUCCUGGCUCAGGACGAACGCUGGCGGCGUGCUUAACACAUGCAAGUCGAGCGGAAAGGCCCUUCGGGGUACUCGAGCGGCGAACGGGUGAGUAACACGUGAGCAACCUGCCCUUAGCUUUGGGAUAGCUCCGGGAAACCGGAAUUAAUACCGAAUAUUACGUCAAUCGACAUCGGCUGACGUGGAAAGAUUUAUCGGCUGAGGAUGGACUCGCGGCCUAUCAGCUAGUUGGUGGGGUAACGGCCUACCAAGGCGACGACGGGUAGCCGGCCUGAGAGGGCGACCGGCCACACUGGGACUGAGACACGGCCCAGACUCCUACGGGGGGCAGCAGUGUGGAAUCUUGCGCAAUGGGCGAAAGCCUGACGCAGCGACGCCGCGUGGGGGAUGAAGGCCUUCGGGUUGUAAACCCCUUUCAGCAGGGACGAAGCGAAAGUGACGGUACCUGCAGAAGAAGCGCCGGCUAACUACGUGCCAGCAGCCGCGGUAACACGUAGGGCGCAAGCGUUGUCCGGAAUUAUUGGGCGUAAAGAGCUCGUAGGCGGACUGUCACGUCUGCUGUGAAAAGCUGGGGCUUAACCCUGGCCUUGCAGUGGAUACGGGCAGACUAGAGGUAGGUAGGGGAGAAUGGAAUUCCCGGUGUAGCGGUGAAAUGCGCAGAUAUCGGGAGGAACACCGGUGGCGAAGGCGGUUCUCUGGGCCUUACCUGACGCUGAGGAGCGAAAGCGUGGGGAGCGAACAGGAUUAGAUACCCUAGUAGUCC